RNAcentral lists this small RNA (36 nucleotides) under Bombyx mori (domestic silkworm). Its description in RNAcentral is "ovarian small RNA-28894". Lineage: Eukaryota; Metazoa; Arthropoda; Insecta; Lepidoptera; Bombycidae. The record is from RNAcentral.
UCGGAAGGGUCAUACGCUAAUUCGGCGGCACUACAC